GAACAGACCGAACCCUUCAGGACUAAAAUAUUCACAGGAACGAUCCAGGAGCCUGGCCCUCCCUAGUCUUUUCGGGAAGCUGUACAGUGACCAGGCUUGUGAGACAAAUUCCUGCCUUCCCAGUGGCUCUUUCCUAGCCAAAACCACCUUUGUCAAGACAGGAGAGGGGUGGUGUGAGCCCCUCCCUCCGGGGGCCGCCCCGGGAGAGGGCAUCCCUGCCCGCGGCCAGCGUGGGCCAAGGACGCUUUUUCUUAGCUAUUCAGGGCCCCUGACUGGCAUCACCUCCCAGGACUCCGAAUGCUUCCUUUCUUGUUUUAAUCCUCUUAAGUUUUUUCCCAUUCCCCGUGGCUCGCCCGCCGGGUUCCUAGUGUCUGGAGGGGUGCCUCUCCCGGCGGCCCGGGGAGGCCCGGAGAGGUGCAGGCGGGGUGCUGCGCAGGGCUGCGGAACCAAUCAGCAAUCUUACCUCCUCGGCCAGCGCUUGCGACAGCGCAAUGUCCUCGUGUUUGAAUUGUGAGGACACAAGGACCUCGGCCUUAUGAUUACCGAUCAAUUCCAUGAUUUCAAAAGCCCACAAAAUCACCCCUCAGAAAAAGACCAACUCAAGUAAGAAAGAACUGAAAAGAAAAUUCUUCUUUGCUCAGGGAAGAAAACCGAAGGCGAGAAAACUGAAUGUACUGCAAAAACUGCUACUGAAGCAAAGCAGCAGGCCGGCGUGUUCUCCCGGGGUUCGAGGAAGCGAUACGGCCCGCAGAACCAGAGGAUGUGGAUUAAACCCGUGGAAGGAAAAGCAAAAAGCGACUGAGCAGAAAAAUUUUAAUCAGGAACAGAGAUUACCAUAAUCCUCUCGAUGGGCUUCCUUUGCAAAUAAGGGACAUUUUUAGAGGACAAAUGUCUGAAGGAAAAAAAAAACAAACAAAACAAAAACCAAAAACCAAAACAGUGGGAGCGGUGUGCUAAAUUAGCGCGGGAAACCUGCAGGCUAGGGAACGCUGAGAACGCCGGCCGGCGACAGGGAAGCCAGCGUCUACUGUGCAUCCGCUCGGCAUGGCGACGUGUAAGGCUGGAAUCUGGAAGGCUUCGAGGAUCAGUGUUUCUUCAUGCUUCGUGGUUUCUCAUACGCGAGAUUACCUCAUUCAAGAAGUUAAAUAGCCCAGUCUCCUAAGACUGUCUUAUUUUCUCAGGCAUUCCUGUGGUAUAAUUAUUACUGUAAAGCUUCUUCUCCAUUCAUUCAAUUUUCCUGGGGAUCGGAAGAAAAGUCCACGCAAAUGUUGCACAAACAAAAAUCCUAGGCAGUUAUAAUGAAGAUGUCCUGUUUGGCAACAAUCGCGCUGGUUCAAUAACUAGAGAGCAGACUUGGGGGAAAGGUGGCGGCAGAGGUCAUGGCGGCGGCACACCUUCUAGACUGGACGCACACGGCACGAGCGCGCUGCUGUGUCCUGAGCCCCUUCAAGGGAAGAGCCGGGAGCGGGGAGGUCACUUCUCCAGUCACAGCAAACAAAGAUCACACUUUGAACUCUGCAGGACGAAGUAGAAAAAUGAGCUGCAAAGAUGAGAGCAAAGUGCCUUUCUCCCGAGCCAACCGAUACACAGCGCCCUGUAAGAACUGACUGCUGGCAGUUCCGUGAUAAUAAUACUGUAAUAAUAACAAUCUCGCAUUUACAGAAAGCUUUUCACUCUCCAAAGUGCUUUCCCAUUUAUUAUGAUCUCUUUGAUAUUCCCUCAAAUAGUAAGCAUUCGUCUUUGGCCCCGGAGGAAAGCGUAGUCCUCAUUCAAAGGCUGCUAGGCUGCCGGCUUUGUGUGAGAAAACGGCCCCCGUCAGUGAGUACUUUGCCCACAAGUACGAGUUUUGCUUUCCAUGUAGCAUGAUAAAGCAGCAGCCUCGUGGACUAUGAAAGCAAGUGGAAAUUGCUAAGAAUCAGCUGAAAGGGAAGCUUAUUGGAAAUAAGAAGUUGUUUAUCUUGAAAAUAAUUCUGCAAAUCCACAAAAGUGUUUUGAUGAGGACAGCCGGCAGUCUACCAAAUUGCGUCCCCCAGUUCCUGGGCAUGCGCUCCCACGAGAGACCACGUCUCCUAGCGCCCUCGGUGGGCUCCAACAGCCAUGGGCUAUGCGGAGAAAGGACCCGUUUUUCCCUGAACCUACGGUCACUGGGGAUGUUUCCUUGAGUCCUAGCAGACUCGCGGAGGGACGCGCAGAUGACAACAGUGCCCUGGCAUCCGCUUGCACAACUUGAUGGAGGUCACCUGAUCACGUGAGUGAUUUCAGGAAGACACACUGCCCAAAGCUAUUGUCAGUGUUAACCGUGAGAAAACAAUCUUCCCUCUGCUCAAACAUACACAUACAUGCAUUCAUGCAUAGACUGCACAUAUACAUGUUUACAUACAUGCAUGCAUACGUACAUAGUCGCGCACGCAUUUAUCAUUAUCAGGGGACAUUUUCCUGGAGAGUGGACGCUCUUUCUCGUCCUAACGGCCUGUGUAUCUGUGGGAACUGAGGUACUGCAGGCUUUCUUUUUGUUGUUGCGGGGUGUUAGUGUUUAUAUGUUUUCGGCCUGUAUGGAGUUUUGUGUGCUCACACGGGUACAGGUUUACAUAAAAUGUUUCUCAAUUGCUCUCUGCCCUUUUCUUUUCUUUGAGGUCCCUGAACCUGGCCACCCCAGGACCCUCCUUUCUCCGGCUCCGCGGCAUGCUCUCUGCGUGCUUGCUUUUAUACGUGGUGCCGGGGAUGGAACUCGGUCCUGACGCUGUUGCUACACAGCCUUACCACUGAGCCCUCUCCCGGCUGGGUUUCUGGGUUUUUUGUUUUUUUUUUCUUUGUGGUGUUGUGUGCUUGAGACAGGGUCUCCUGUAGGCCACUAACGUAGCCACGGGUGACCUUACUCUCACUAAAAGUAUGAGACCCUGACCCUGACAACGCAAUGCAUUCUGUCUGGCUUUUGUUCUGUUGUAUUUUUGUGGAAAGGAGGCUGAAGGUUAAACUCGGGCCUUGUGCUCGGCGGCAAGAGCUCCGCCGUUGAGCUAGCCUCAUCCCACUGCUGUUGAGGGGGCAAUGUCCACGUGUCCUUGGCGGUCCCGGCUUCACUGAACUGAAACAAGCAGCUGCUGACCACCGUGAACGCCCGCGCGGUCCAAUGGUGACAGUAAGCGGGCGCCGCUCACCCGGGCAACAAGUGAAACCAAGAAACAGAGUGCAGUGCGUCCCCCAGGGUCUCGGAGGUUCGGGCUCCACCGAAAACAGUCGUUUCCCAGUGCCAGGGAUCAACUCUGCACUCGUUGCCCACAGCGCCUUCCACCACUAAGCCGCAUGUCAGUCUGUGAAAGUGGGUAACAUUUGGAAAGUGUGGGCAGCGCUACAUGUCCAGCUUAGGGUACUGUAUCUACCCUAAACGUGACUGCAAGAUGUGAAGACCGCGUUAUUGCUCCAUUUGGUACUCAGAUUUAUUCAGUUGUCUUUGCCUCUCUCAGAAAUGGCAGCCUUGGUUUUGUGACAAUGUAAGUUUUUGAGGCUAUUUAUCUACAAAUUUUCCAUUAUUGUAAUGACUUUAUUUAUCUUGUGAAAGUCUACUUAUAUGUAUUAGUAGCAGCGGGUGUAUAACAACUGUCUGAAGCAGAAUAAGCUUGUGUAAAAAGAUUAACAAAAAAAAUUGAACAGAAGGAUUCUAAAAUAAAGUGUCUGAUGAAUGUA
This is a long non-coding RNA of Meriones unguiculatus (Mongolian gerbil), 3681 nucleotides long. RefSeq lists it as uncharacterized. The transcript is spliced from 2 exons. NCBI's taxonomy places the organism in Eukaryota, Metazoa, Chordata, Mammalia, Rodentia, Muridae. The record is from RefSeq and is a predicted model, not a curated record.